AAAACUUAAACAGAAAAAAAAUAGCAAAUCUGAAUAGACUAAUUACUAACAAAGAGAUUGAAUCAGUAAUCAAAAACCUUCCAACAAGCAAAAGUCCAAGACUAGACAGCUUCCCUGGUAUAU
Molecule: long non-coding RNA, 123 nt
Organism: Leopardus geoffroyi (Geoffroy's cat)
Lineage: Eukaryota; Metazoa; Chordata; Mammalia; Carnivora; Felidae
Exons: 3
Source: RefSeq, a predicted model, not a curated record